Molecule: ribosomal RNA, 2890 nt
Filed under: Aeromonas veronii
Lineage: Bacteria; Pseudomonadati; Pseudomonadota; Gammaproteobacteria; Aeromonadales; Aeromonadaceae
Description: 23S ribosomal RNA
Rfam family: Bacterial large subunit ribosomal RNA
Source: RNAcentral
GUUAAGUGACUAAGCGUACAUGGUGGAUGCCUUGGCAGUCAGAGGCGAUGAAGGACGUACUAACCUGCGAUAAGCUGUGAGAAGUCGGUAAGAGACGCUAUUACUCACAGAUUUCCGAAUGGGGAAACCCACCCGAGAUAACUCGGGUAUCUGUUACUGAAUACAUAGGUAACAGAGGCGAACCGGGAGAACUGAAACAUCUAAGUACCCCGAGGAAAAGAAAUCAACCGAGAUUCCCUCAGUAGCGGCGAGCGAACGGGGAUUAGCCCUUAAGCAUCUUGGAAGUUAGUGGAACGGUCCUGGAAAGGCCGGCGAUACAGGGUGAUAGCCCCGUACACGAAAACAACCUUGAUGUGAAAUCGAGUAGGGCGGGACACGUGACAUCCUGUCUGAAUAUGGGGGGACCAUCCUCCAAGGCUAAAUACUCCUGACUGACCGAUAGUGAACCAGUACCGUGAGGGAAAGGCGAAAAGAACCCCUGUGAGGGGAGUGAAAUAGAACCUGAAACCGUGUACGUACAAGCAGUGGGAGCCCUUCGGGGUGACUGCGUACCUUUUGUAUAAUGGGUCAGCGACUUACAUUUUGUAGCGAGGUUAACCGUAUAGGGGAGCCGUAGGGAAACCGAGUCUUAACUGGGCGUCUAGUUGCAAGGUGUAGACCCGAAACCGGGUGAUCUAGCCAUGGGCAGGUUGAAGGUUGAGUAACAUCAACUGGAGGACCGAACCCACUAACGUUGCAAAGUUAGGGGAUGACCUGUGGCUGGGGGUGAAAGGCCAAUCAAACUCGGAGAUAGCUGGUUCUCCCCGAAAGCUAUUUAGGUAGCGCCUCGGACGAAUACUACUGGGGGUAGAGCACUGUUUGGGCUAGGGGGUCAUCCCGACUUACCAACCCCAUGCAAACUCCGAAUACCAGUAAGUAAUAUCCGGGAGACACACGGCGGGUGCUAACGUCCGUCGUGAAGAGGGAAACAACCCAGACCGCCGGCUAAGGUCCCAAAGUUCUGGUUAAGUGGGAAACGAUGUGGGAAGGCUCAGACAGCUAGGAUGUUGGCUUAGAAGCAGCCAUCAUUUAAAGAAAGCGUAAUAGCUCACUAGUCGAGUCGGCCUGCGCGGAAGAUGUAACGGGGCUCAAACCAGGCACCGAAGCCGCGGAUUCACACUUAUGUGUGAGUGGUAGGGGAGCGUUCUGUAAGUCUGCGAAGGUGUAUCGAGAGGUAUGCUGGAGAUAUCAGAAGUGCGAAUGCUGACGUAAGUAACGAUAAAGGGGGUGAAAAGCCUCCUCGCCGGAAGACCAAGGGUUCCUGUCCAACGUUAAUCGGGGCAGGGUGAGUCGACCCCUAAGGCGAGGCCGAAAGGCGUAGUCGAUGGGAAGCAGGUUAAUAUUCCUGCACGACUUGUAAUUGCGAUGGGGGGACGGAGAAGGCUAGGUGGGCCAGGCGACGGUUGUCCUGGUGAAAGUGCGUAGGUGGUGUUUCUAGGCAAAUCCGGAGACACAACACUGAGACACGAGACGAACACACUACGGUGUGGAAGCCAUUGAUGCCCUGCUUCCAGGAAAAGCCUCUAAGCUUCAGAUUACAAGUCAUCGUACCCCAAACCGACACAGGUGGUCGGGUAGAGAAUACCAAGGCGCUUGAGAGAACUCGGGUGAAGGAACUAGGCAAAAUAGAACCGUAACUUCGGGAGAAGGUUCGCUCUUGACAGUGAAGUCCCUUGCGGAUGGAGCAGUUGGGAGUCGCAGUGACCAGAUGGCUGGGACUGUUUAUCAAAAACACAGCACUCUGCAAACACGAAAGUGGACGUAUAGGGUGUGACACCUGCCCGGUGCCGGAAGGUUAAUUGAUGGGGUUAGCGCAAGCGAAGCUCUUGAUCGAAGCCCCGGUAAACGGCGGCCGUAACUAUAACGGUCCUAAGGUAGCGAAAUUCCUUGUCGGGUAAGUUCCGACCUGCACGAAUGGUGUAACCAUGGCCAUGCUGUCUCCACCCGAGACUCAGUGAAAUCGAAUUCGCCGUGAAGAUGCGGUGUACCCGCGGCUAGACGGAAAGACCCCGUGAACCUUUACUACAGCUUGGCACUGAACAUUGAACCUACAUGUGUAGGAUAGGUGGGAGGCUUUGAAGGCGUGACGCCAGUUGCGCUGGAGCCGUCCUUGAAAUACCACCCUUGUAUGUUUGAUGUUCUAACGCAGGGCCCUGAAUCGGGCUCGCGGACAGUGCCUGGUGGGUAGUUUGACUGGGGCGGUCUCCUCCCAAAGAGUAACGGAGGAGCACGAAGGUUGGCUAAUCCUGGUCGGACAUCAGGAGGUUAGUGCAAUGGCAUAAGCCAGCUUAACUGCGAGACGGACAGGUCGAGCAGGUACGAAAGUAGGUCAUAGUGAUCCGGUGGUUCUGAAUGGAAGGGCCAUCGCUCAACGGAUAAAAGGUACUCCGGGGAUAACAGGCUGAUACCGCCCAAGAGUUCAUAUCGACGGCGGUGUUUGGCACCUCGAUGUCGGCUCAUCACAUCCUGGGGCUGAAGUCGGUCCCAAGGGUAUGGCUGUUCGCCAUUUAAAGUGGUACGCGAGCUGGGUUCAGAACGUCGUGAGACAGUUCGGUCCCUAUCUGCCGUGGGCGUUGGAUGAUUGAAGGGAGUUGCUCCUAGUACGAGAGGACCGGAGUGAACGAACCUCUGGUGUUCGGGUUGUCACGCCAGUGGCACUGCCCGGUAGCUAAGUUCGGAAUCGAUAACCGCUGAAAGCAUCUAAGCGGGAAGCGAGCCCUGAGAUGAGUCAUCCCUGACCCCUUGAGGGUCCUAAAGGGCCGUUGGAGACCACAACGUUGAUAGGUGGGGUGUGUAAGCACGGCGACGUGUUGAGCUAACCCAUACUAAUUACCCGUGAGGCUUAACCAUA